Molecule: non-coding RNA, 387 nt
Organism: Lolium perenne
Lineage: Eukaryota; Viridiplantae; Streptophyta; Magnoliopsida; Poales; Poaceae
Source: RefSeq, a predicted model, not a curated record
AUUCUAGCUAAAUAGGAGCUAGUUUUAGGAAACUAGUUCCUUUCUAUUGCUAAGCUAAGUUUUCUCCUUGUUGGAUGUGGUAUCUGACUCCUCUGACAGGGUCAUGUCUCUUGAAGUAGUUGUUGACUCCUCGGCCUUCGAGUUGCACUGUAGAUCCUCCUUCGAUGCCUCCAUAUCUAAGCAGGGGAUUUAAGAGUGGGAUGAGUACGAGCGUACUCAACAAGUUCAUUAUAGGAAAGAGGUGUUUAAUGCACUAGCUACAACAUUAGACCAGAAAGUCUAAUACCAAUGCAGGUUUUCAUAACCAUUUCUUCAAAAGGUUGCUUUUAUUUAGAAGAACUAUGUCCAUCAGCCUUCACCGGUUUACUAGAACUUCAUGGAGCUCCU